GCGAUAGCCAGCCGCGGCUGCCCUUGCGCUUCCCGAGCUGGCGGGGUCCGUGGUGCGGGAUCGAGAUUGCGGGCUAUGGCGCCGAAGGUUUUUCGUCAGUACUGGGAUAUCCCCGAUGGCACCGAUUGCCACCGCAAAGCCUACAGCACCACCAGUAUUGCCAGCGUCGCUGGUAGGGACUGAAGGUUGGAGAAGCAUAUUAACUGCUCCAGGGUCAUUUGAAGCUGGGCUGCAAGUCCAGGUCGGCUGACCUGCUCCUAGGGGUCUCUGAAGCAAGGAAUGUUCCCAUCAGGCCUGACCGCCGCUGCCUACAGAGUCACACUCAAUCCUCCGGGCACCUUCCUUGAAGGAGUGGCUAAGGUUGGACAAUACACGUUCACUGCAGCUGCUGUCGGGGCCGUGUUUGGCCUCACCACCUGCAUCAGCGCCCAUGUCCGCGAGAAGCCCGACGACCCCCUGAACUACUUCCUCGGUGGCUGCGCCGGAGGCCUGACUCUGGGAGCACGCAGUACAGUCCUGCCCCAGGGCCUUUGCAUGGGCAGUGCACUGCGUGGAAUGCUGUUCCCCUCACUGUCCUGACCACCCUGUGUACAAGCCAGCAUCCCCGCCGCCCUCGCUCUGUGCCGCCUUCCUUCUGUGUGCCUUGUCAGAGGACACAGGUCACCAAGGUCACCCCCUGUCUCUGCCACUGGCCUGUGAGUCAGAGAGGAGGAUGGAUGGAGUCUCGCCCUGCCAUCUCUCUCCCUGCACCUGGAGCCCUGCAGGGGAGCUGCCCCCGCAACCUUCACUUUACAGAAAAGGGUAUUAGGGCUCAGGGAGGGAAUUAAGUGGCCCGAGGUCACCUGGAGGAGCAAGUGGCCUUCUUUGCAGCCAUCAGAGGGUGCAGCCCUGGUGGAGAAGGCCACGCUUGGCACAGGGGAGCCCGUCUGGAGCAUGAGCCAGACAUCACUCCUGCCCUCCCAUGGGCCCGGGCUCAGCGUCAGUGCCCGCCUGUGCCCCUGGCCUACCCCCAGCCCGCCAAGGCUCGGGCCCUCAGGGCCAGUGGGAGGAGUGAACGAGCCCUCUUGCAGCUCAGCCGCUCUGGCCUGGCAUGUUGGGAGUGAUGAAUGGCAGGUUCCAGGCAGGCAGAGAGGGAGGGUGCGAGGGCAGGGCCUACGCCGUCACUGCUGUCUCUGCGUCAAGACCUUGGGGAGGCCUUGUCCCUCCCCAGCUCCCACUGGAACUGGUCAGAGGUUGCAGGUGGGUUGAGGUCUUGACUGUAGCCCAGCUCAGGCUGGAACUGCUCCCUGUCCCCAAGCCAGCCUCCCUGUCUCUCUUCAAAGAGUGUGAGUCCCUUUAGGUCCUGGUGUGUGGGGACACACCUCCUUCCUCCUCUGGCCCGGAGGCUUCGGAGCAGGAGAGCCUGGAGAAGUGGGGGCACUGUCGGGGCUCCUCGGUACACAGACCACGGGACAGAUGCGUGGCCUGGCCCUGGCAUCCAUGGGCAAAGGAGAGACUGAGACACACCGAUGUGUCACCAUGGCCCGGUGCCCAGCCUUGCCCCAGCCCCAGCUGGGGGCAGCACGGUGUCCUCGCAGGGGGAAGUCAGUGUGGGGCGGGAUGAGGACCCACAGCCUGGGUUCCUGCUGGGAAGCAACCUGGACUCCGGCCUCCCUCUGUGCAUCAGUUUCCACAUCUCCAGAGUCUAGGGCCCUCUUCCUGAGUGACUUAAUCCCUGAAGAGAGUGUCCUGUCAGGGGUCUCAGUCUGGCUCCCAGGGUGGGCACCGGCCAGGGCGUGGAGCGUCU
Molecule: unclassified non-coding RNA, 1786 nt
Filed under: Homo sapiens (human)
Lineage: Eukaryota; Metazoa; Chordata; Mammalia; Primates; Hominidae
Description: NADH:ubiquinone oxidoreductase subunit A11 (ENSG00000292058.1)
Source: RNAcentral